Molecule: long non-coding RNA, 6454 nt
Filed under: Homo sapiens (human)
Lineage: Eukaryota; Metazoa; Chordata; Mammalia; Primates; Hominidae
Description: non-protein coding lnc-RTL1-8:6
Rfam family: Metazoan signal recognition particle RNA (bases 3875-4022)
Source: RNAcentral
ACUUCUCAGCAUCGCCGUCUCUGAGGGCAGGAGUGAUCUGGAGCCCUCCCCAAGCCCACAGAAGACAUGGCUGUGGAGUGUCGGUGCACCAGGGUCUGCCGGGUCCCCGCCUCCCCAUCCUUCCAAGAGGCACCAGCUGCAAGGCACGUGCAUGUGCCCUCCUGACCCCCCGGUCCCCAAAGAGCCUGCUCCCGUCACUCCAGGCAGGCACUGUUGCUGGGAUUUCAAGGCAGCUGAGUGCAGAGCCCACUGCAGAGGCAUCAGCCCCUCCCAGGCCUCUAGGAAACCUGCUCCUCCCCUCCCUCCACAGGCAUCUGCUUACAGCGCCAGCGGUGCCUCGUGCUCCACCUGGAGCACCACUGUCUGUCAGGGACACGGGCUCCCAGAGGGCUGCACGUGAAUGAUUUCCGACCCUCACAACAGCCAGGAAGUAGGGACUGGGAUUGUUCCCAUUCUGUAGAUGAGAAGACUGAGGCUUGGGAUAACGUGCUUGCCCAAGUUGGCAUGGGCAGUACAAGACAAAGCUGGGGUUGCAAAUGAUCACGCUUCCUAUUCUGAAUAUUUCUUUUUCUGCCACCUUCUCCUCUGAGUGCUGGCUUUCCCUACUUACCAAGCCCCCAGCUGCUCACUGCGGUGCCAGAGCACCCAAGAGCCUCCUCUGGCAGUGCCAUGGCCCACAGCACACUCCCCUUGGCUCUAUCAGGCCUCCCUUUUGGCUUGAGUGCCACCCACUCACUCCUCUCCUGCUUUCUGGCAUCGUUAUUUAAUUGUCCAACCCUGGUCUGCUCAGUUAGACCGUAAACUCUGAGAGGACGAGGAGUCUUCGCCGGCUGCCCCCCGGGCCUGGCCUGGGGCUGCCACGUAGCUGAAUCUCAGCCACACUUGCUGUAGAAUGAUUUGUUAUUAUUCUCUGAGGCUGGGUUUCCACGUGGCUGGGCACAGGAGGACAGAGUCCCCCUCCCCGUCCAGGUCCUUGGCUGGCCAGCAUUUCAAAUGAUAUUGUUUCAUAUUAAAUUAUUUUAAAUUCCAUGGACCCUGGUUUCACAAUCAAAUAAUUCGAUCUUGUUUACAAAUGGAAUUUUUAGUUUUUGACGGUUUCUUGCUUUGCUGGGCUGGACGGUCAGUGAAUGCGUGUCCUCCCGUGCCCUCCAGUCCAUCUCUGUUGCCUUCCCCGGGAUGCCGUGGAGGCCGGGAACCGUCCCCAGGAGUGGGGACGUGGUCAGGAGGGUGGGGUCAGGCAGCCCUGUGCAGGCAGACAGCUCACAGUGCUCGGGGCCUGGAGGCGGGGGCGUUCUCUGCUUGCCCUCUUCCAGCUCUAGACAUGAGAAAACCCACAAAGAACAGAAUUGGAAGGGAUCUUUGACACACGUGAUUCCAACAUCCCCUUUUACAGUUAGGAAACUGAGGCACAAGAUCCUGGUUCUUGGGGUUGGGCCUUGGACCCAGCACUGGGUCUUUGCACAGCCUCCUCAGGACUGAUCCACACUUUGUUCUCUUCCCCACCAACCCCAUCACUUCCCGUUAGGUGCCACUUACUGCUUUCACCUACCGAGACAGAGAGAGGGAAAAGUGUGACCUCUGACCUCUAGGAGCUAGGAACCCAGUGUUGGGAGGGGAGCUGCGGAGGAGGAGACAAAGGAGGCACAAUGAGGUGGACCCUACGGGGUUGGGAGGAGCUUGGAAGGCAGUUCAGAAAGGACACGUAGGAGAAGGCAGGGUGGGACUGUGGGACAGCAGGCCGGGCGCAUCCAGCGGCGUUUGCAAAGCCGGAGAAGUGGCCAAGCUCAGUGGCUGUGGCCAGAUGCCAUUUGUGGCAGUUGAUGAGAAUCUUGUGACUAUUUUAACCGAUGUGUUAAACUUCACUCUCCCCCUGUCAGUCUCCUUGUCACCUUGGAGAAUGUUAUUAGUCAAGGUUCUCCAGAGAAACAGAACCAACAGAAUGUACACACAUGCACACACAUACACAUGCACACACACACACAUACACACGCACACACACACACACACAAACAGGGAUUUAUUGUAAAGAACUGGCUCCUGGAAUAACUGAAUUGAUAAGUCCCAAGAUUUUCAGUCAGCAAGCUGGAGACCCAGAAGAGGCUACUAGGGACUAGACAUGUCCCCCCAAAAUUCAUAUGGUGGACCCCAACCUCCAAUGUGAUGGUCUUAGGAGGUGGGGUGUUUUGAAGGUGAUUAGGUCAGGAGGGUGGAGCGCUAAUGAACGAAAUUAGUGCCCUUAUAAGAAGAGACAGGGCAGCUCUCUCUCUCUGAUCUCUGUCACAUUAGGACGUAGAGAGAGGAAGGCCAGCAGUAAGUGGGCCCUCACCAAAAUCAAAUUGGCAGCACCGUGGUGCUGGACUUCCAGCCUCCUGAAUGGUGGGAAAUGAAUAUUUGAUGCUUAAGCCACACAGUCUACAGCAGCCCGAGCUUAGACAGAGCGGACGUUUCAGUUCAAGUCCAAAGGCAGGAAAAAGCUAGACAUUCAGCUCAAAGGCUGGCAGGCAAGAGGAAUUCUAUCUUACUCAGGGGACGGGACCCCCUUUGUCCUAUUCAGGCUGUCAACUGAUUGGAUGAGGCCCACCCAUAUUAGGGAGGGGAAACUGCUUUACCUGGCCCACUGAUUCCAAUGUGAGUCUCAUCCCCAAGCCCCUCACAGAAACACCCAGAGUGAUGUCUGGUCAAAUAUCUGGGCGCUGUGGCCCCGCCAAGUUGACACUGAAAUUAACCCUCGCAGAGGCCGCCUCUUUAUCACGGGACACAUGCUUGGAGCCCCUCUUCUGGAACUUUCUCUAAGCGAGUGACAGUAUGGGGCAGAUGGGUGUCAUUGCUCUGUGGUCACUUGAUGGGUGACCUGGGUUGGCCCUGUGUACCUACCCACUGGGCUUGGCUCAGAAUGGCAUCCUGCUGUUUCCACAAGUCAGCUGGCUCUCCAGGGUCAGGAUGGAACCUGCUGAGGAGAUCACAGAUGGCCCUGACUCCACACGCUGCCCCAGAGGGCCCCAAGGCAGGCAUCUGAGCCAGCCCCGGCUGCAGAGGUUGACUCAGGAAAGCACCAGGGAAAGUUGGUUGUUAAUAUCCCAGUCCAAUUUUUUUUGACUGGGCCUAAAGGCAGGGACUUCCUUCUAUAAAAUCUGGGAGCUGAGUGCAGGGCAGGCCUGACAAGGCGUGAGGAGCUGCCUGUGGACUUCGGCUCUCCCAGUGAGUCCAGGAGCUGCCCUGGGCCCUGGCGGCCCCUCCUCAUCCCCACCUCUCUGCUGCACCACUAUGGCCUCAAGGUCCCUGCACUGCCUCAUAAAGCUGUCCCCAAGUCAGGCUCCUGUGAGCGCGCCGGGCAUCAGAACUCUGGCUGGUGGACCCACAGAGGCCCGGGGUAAUAGCCAUGAGAAGAACAGGCCACCACGCUCAGACUGGGAAGCACCCAGCCUGCGGGAUGGCCAGAGACACUCAUCCAGGGCCAUGAGAGUGUGAAUCAGUCGAGUACAAUAUGCAUAACCAGUGUGGCCAGAACCGGUGCUUUGAGGUGUCUAACUCCUGGUGUCCUACCAUCCCAACACUGUUGAUUAAUGGCGAAAGAUGGGGCAUUGGGGAGGUCUGUGUCUAUGCUUGGUGGCACCUAAGAAAGAGCAAGGCAUUUAUCUGCAUGGAUUGAGAUAGACAGGUCUCUAAAAUAAACAAGGCAAAGAACGCAAGAGGCUGAACCAAAGUAUGAUCCAUUUGGGGCUUAACAAAUAGAUAGUAUAGGCAGCGCGGUGGCUCACGCCUGUAAUCCCAGCACCUUGGGAGGCUGAGGUGGGCAGAUCACCUGAGGUUGGGAGUUCCAGACCAGCCUGAGCAAUAUGGUGAAACCCUGUCUUUACUAAAAAUACAAAAAUUAGCUGGGCAUGGUGGUGCACGCCUGUAAUCCCAGCUACUCAGGAGGCUGAGGCGGGAGAAUCGCUUGAACCCGGGAGGUGGAGGUUGCAGUGAGCUGAGAUCAUGCCACUGCACUCCAGCCUGGGUGACAGAGGGAGACCCUGUCUCAAAAAAAAAAAAAAAAAAUAGAUGGGGUAGAUGCUUUUGGAAGAAUAUGCAGUCACUGCUCACACCAGCAUGGAACAAGUGGACUGGGGUUACUGCCUGGCGAGUCUCUUUCAGGUCCCUGAAUGCAGUUAACUCAGCGAGUCCUGAGUUCCCCAGGAGGUGGGCAUUCCCAUCUUACCCACGUUGCAGAUGAAGACACUGAGGUGCAUAGAUGACUUACUUUCAGAAAAUGUCAACAGGGUGCUCUGCAGAGGGGCAUGGGCUUUUAUGCCUUUAUUAUGCUUUUCUGUAUUAAAAGAAAAAUACAGUCAUGUGAUUUUAGAAACUCAACCCAUGGAAGAGAGAAUACUGGGUCUGUAGGAAAUCUGCAAAGUGGGAAAGAUACUUCUGGGCUUGGUGGUGGCACCUUGGAGCCUGCUUACGGAAAUCACCUCUCGUUCCCGUGAUGCUGAAAGCAGAAUGCUGGACAUGGAAGAACCGCGGUACUCGAGCUUCGUCUGCUGCCCCACACCCCACUGGCUGUUGCAAGAGUGACGUUGCCAUUGGUGACUGCAGGUCUCCCAGCAGCCUGGUGCAGAGAGGCCACUUCAGGCUCGAACAGAGGCCCGGGUUUCCACGGGAGACAGCAGAGCCACGGUGUAGCAGGCAUCCAGCUCUCCCCCGAUCAGUUCCGUGACUUGUCGGAAGGCCCUCCCUCCCGGUCAGACGAAGAAAGGACUGGUGGCCUCUGGGGAUCCUGAGCCUGUCUCCAUGGGAACCAGCUCACCCACCCCCUCUCUGGCACCAGAACAUUCUUCCAGAGCUUCACUGGAGCCUUCCUCUUCAGCAUGACCGUCCCUGGCCACCUGAUCCAGAGCUGGCGGCUCCCAGGCAUAGCCCAUCCCUGCUGCGGCUCUGCACUGCCCCAGUCCUCACCUGCAUGCAGGGGACUAUUCACAUGCUGACCGUCUGUCCAUCUCCCGUAAGAACGUCGGCUCCUUCCACGUCUGCUGGGCGUGGAGGAUCCCUCACAGCCUCCCCGACCUCAGAGCCAUGAGAGACUUGCAAAGCUUGAAACAAACUCUGAAAGGACUCUUCACAGAUAAAUUCCUCCAGGUGCAUGUUUCAAACAAUUUUAUUAUCUAACCCAAGAGUAAGUUAGCAAUCGAUUUCCUAAUCUUUAUUGAUUGGCAGUGGGCAGGCUAGUGUGAUUAAAGAUGUGAGAGAGACUUGCCAAAUAAAAUGCAUGAGCAGCCUUCAUGAGCUUAGCUCCAAUGUGCAGAGUGAUAGGGUCAGGGAAGUGUGUGUAUGUGUGCAUGAUUGUGUGAGAUCAGGGUAGUGUGUGUGUGUGUGUGUGUGUGUGACAUCAGGGCAGUGGGUGUGUGAGAGAGAUCAGGGCAGUGUGUAUGUGUAUGUGUGAGAUCAGGGCAGUGUGCGUGUGUGUGUGUGUGUGACAUCAGGGCAGUGUGUCUGUGUGCAUGAGUGUGUGAGAUCAGGGCAGUGUGUGUGCAUGAGUGUGAUAUCAGGGCAGUAUGUGUGUGUCUGUGUGUGUGUGUAUGAUAUCAGGGCAGUGUGUGUGUGUCUGUGUGUGAGGUUAGGGCAGUGUGUGUUUGUGUGCAUGAGUGUGUGAGAUCAGGACAGUAUGUGAGAGAGAGAGAUCAGGGCAAAGGGCAGUGUUUGUGUGAGAUUAGGGCAGAGUGUGUGUGUGUGUGUAUGAGAUCAGGGCAGUGUGUGUGUGUGUGCAUGAGUGUGUGAGAUCAGGGUAGUGUGUGUGUGUGACAUCAGGGCAGUGUUUGUGUGUUUGUGUGAGAUCAGGGCAGUGUGUGUGUGUGCACGAGUGUGUGAGAUCACGGAAGUGUGUGUGUCAGGUCACCACAGUGUAUGUGCGGGUAUGCGUGUGUGUGUGCACAGGGAACACACGGACAGCCAUUCCAAGUACACACUCUCCUUGGGUAAAUCUGUGAGUAAUCAUUGCUCCAGCAGUGAGAGCCCGUGAGGGUGGUGCAGGAAGACUGUGGCCUGCCUCCUGAGGGAAGCAUUAAAAAAACAGUCAAAGGAAAACGAACUCAGCUCUCCCAGGGUGGAGGACGUGGAGGUGGGCAGCCAGGGAACAAAUCUGGUUGCUGCGAGCCUGUCAGAAAGGGCCCUAGUGCCCUGCCAGGAGGAAGGACUCUGGGCCAUGAGCAUGAUGGUCUUUGAAGGCCAGGAGAGCUAGCCUACCCCAGCUCUGCCACUAACUGUGCGACUCACGGUCACAUGAUGAUACCUCCUGGGCCCCAUAUACUUUAUCUGCAAAUGGGAAGAAGCACAGCCUCUGUGUCCACAGUGCUGUUGAGGUUGGAUCGGGGCUAACUGGCAAUCAGACAUGUGUCUAUAAAUGCCGGCGAGCCAGGCAGAGCCCAGGCCUGAGAGUCCACCAGGGUGGCAGGCCUUAAUCCGCGCUGCACAGAUCUGU